GCUUGUCUCAAAGAUUAAGCCAUGCAUGUCUCAGUACAAGCCAAAUUAAGGUGAAACCGCGAAAGGCUCAUUAAAUCAGUUAUGGUUCCUUAGAUCGUACCCACAAUUACUUGGAUAACUGUGGUAAUUCUAGAGCUAAUACAUGCAAACAGAGCUCCGACCGGAGACGGAAGGAGUGCUUUUAUUAGAUCAAAACCAAUCGGUGGCGGGCUCGUCAUCGUACAACUUGGUGACUCUGAAUAACUUUACGCUGAUCGCACGGUCACCGCACCGGCGACGCAUCUUUCAAAUGUCUGCCUUAUCAACUGUCGAUGGUAGGUUCUGCGCCUACCAUGGUUGUAACGGGUAACGGGGAAUCAGGGUUCGAUUCCGGAGAGGGAGCCUGAGAAACGGCUACCACAUCCAAGGAAGGCAGCAGGCGCGCAAAUUACCCACUCCCGGCACGGGGAGGUAGUGACGAAAAAUAACGAUACGGGACUCAUCCGAGGCCCCGUAAUCGGAAUGAGUACACUCUAAACCCUUUAACGAGGAUCAAUUGGAGGGCAAGUCUGGUGCCAGCAGCCGCGG
Molecule: ribosomal RNA, 567 nt
Filed under: Poropterus sp. ARC1927
Lineage: Eukaryota; Metazoa; Arthropoda; Insecta; Coleoptera; Curculionidae
Description: SSU rRNA
Rfam family: Eukaryotic small subunit ribosomal RNA
Source: RNAcentral